GAACGCUGGCGCGUGCUUAACACAUGCAAGUCGAACGGUGAAGCUCCAGCUUGCUGGAGUGGAUCAGUGGCGAACGGGUGAGUMACACGUGAGCCACCUGCCCCAAACUCUGGAAUAAGCGCUGGAAACGGCGUCUAAUACUGGAUGCGAGACCAACCUGCAUGGGUAUGGUUUGGAAAGUUUUUCGGUUUGGGAUGGGCUCGCGGCCUAUCAGCUUGUUGGUGAGGUAAUGGCUCACCAAGGCGACGACGGGUAGCCGGCCUGAGAGGGCGACCGGCCACACUGGGACUGAGACACGGCCCAGACUCCUACGGGAGGCAGCAGUGGGGAAUAUUGCACAAUGGGCGAAAGCCUGAUGCAGCGACGCCGCGUGAGGGAUGACGGCCUUCGGGUUGUAAACCUCUUUCAGCAGGGAAGAAGCGAAAGUGACGGUACCUGCAGAAGAAGCACCGGCUAACUACGUGCCAGCAGCCGCGGUAAUACGUAGGGUGCGAGCGUUGUCCGGAAUUAUUGGGCGUAAAGAGCUUGUAGGCGGUUUGUCGCGUCUGCUGUGAAAAUCCGGGGCUCAACCCCGGACUUGCAGUGGGUACGGGCAGACUAGAGUGUGGUAGGGGAGACUGGAAUUCCUGGUGUAGCGGUGAAAUGCGCAGAUAUCAGGAGGAACACCGAUGGCGAAGGCAGGUCUCUGGGCCACUACUGACGCUGAGAAGC
This 711-nucleotide ribosomal RNA is filed under the name uncultured Intrasporangiaceae bacterium. Its description in RNAcentral is "bacterial SSU rRNA". It matches the Rfam family "Bacterial small subunit ribosomal RNA", at positions 31 to 754 of the family's 1533-position model. The record is from RNAcentral. Lineage: Bacteria; Bacillati; Actinomycetota; Actinomycetes; Micrococcales; Intrasporangiaceae.